Molecule: ribosomal RNA, 443 nt
Filed under: uncultured bacterium
Lineage: Bacteria
Description: partial 16S ribosomal RNA
Rfam family: Bacterial small subunit ribosomal RNA
Source: RNAcentral
CCUACGGGAGGCAGCAGUGGGGAAUAUUGGGCAAUGGGCGCAAGCCUGACCCAGCAAUGCCGCGUGAAGGAAGAAGGCUUUCGGGUUGUAAACUUCUUUUCUCAGGGACGAAGCAAGUGACGGUACCUGAGGAAUAAGCCACGGCUAACUACGUGCCAGCAGCCGCGGUAAUACGUAGGUGGCAAGCGUUAUCCGGAUUUACUGGGUGUAAAGGGCGUGUAGCCGGGAAGGCAAGUCAGAUGUGAAAUCCGGGGGCUCAACCUCCGAAUUGCAUUUGAAACUGUUUUUCUUGAGUACUGGAGAGGCAGACGGAAUUCCUUGUGUAGCGGUGAAAUGCGUAGAUAUAAGGAGGAACACCAGUGGCGAAGGCGGUCUGCUGGACAGCAACUGACGGUGAGGCGCGAAAGCGUGGGGAGCAAACAGGAUUAGAUACCCGGGUAGUC